RNAcentral lists this long non-coding RNA (1068 nucleotides) under Chloebia gouldiae (Gouldian finch). RNAcentral's name for it is "Erythrura gouldiae (Gouldian finch) lncRNA (ENSEGOG00005008009.1)". Lineage: Eukaryota; Metazoa; Chordata; Aves; Passeriformes; Passeridae. The record is from RNAcentral.
CUGUGGGUAAGGUGCUAUUUGUUUAAAAAUGGUGGAAAAUGGUGUAUACGUUACUUGCUGCCUUAAAAAGUCCAUAAUUAAUAUCAGAAGAAGCUAUAGUUAAUUACAAGUCCUGAAGGCUGUUGCUCUUCAGUUGCAGGAGAAGAAUUGGCUGCAGACUCCUGUCUGUUGNNNNNNNNNNCCCCCAUCCUUGUCCCUGGAGCUUCUUGGUUGCUGUCAGCUCCCAGUCCCAGGGUGCAGGAGAGGCAGCAGGGGCUGAAGCCUGCACUGUCUGCCCAUCUCAGUGUGACACCCCAGCCCUCUGAGUCCUCCUGCCUGCUUCCCAUCCCCUCUGUCCCCAGAGGCUGGGGACAGCAGGAAUCUACUGUCCCCUGUGCUGGGGCAGCCAGUAACCUGCCACCUUGGCCAUGCUCCCCUCCACCUCCUACCUUGUUCCCACAGAUUCCAUCACUGUUUUCACGGGCCAGUGCUUUGUGGAUGAGUAUGGAAAGGAGGUUCUGAGGACCAUGUGGCUUCUGAGGUCACAUGUGGACAGCAUAAAAAAUGACUGGAAAGCCACCAGGGUGGGCAUCAAUGUCUUCACCCGUCUGCAGUCACAGGAGUGAGAGUGGCAUCGGGGGCUUCCCAGGCCAGCAGCAGCGCCAGGGGUGUGCCCCUGCUCCUGCAGCACCACCUGCUUCUCCCAAUAAAGCUUUGCUGCAAACAUUUACAGUCUCCUGUCAUGUUGUUGCAAAAUGUUGGAUAAGUAAAACAUUUCUUUAAAAGCUUUGUUCCUUGAUAUUUGAGGUUUUUUAUGCUUUUAAGCCUAAUCAACGAGAAAGGGCAUUUAGUCUGUGAAACUGAGAGCAGCAGACAAGCUCAAUGCUAUGUCCAGGUUAAAAAGAGAUCUUACUUGGUAGAAUUGCCUUGUUAAGGUUUAGGUCUUGAUGGGCUUUAAUAAUCUCAGAGUAGAGUGCAGGUUACAAAAGUUGGGAUGAACAAUAUACCAUUGGUAAUACACACAAAGAGUUCACAGGAAUUUACAGGACACUUGGCAAGAUAAUAAAAAAGCAAUAGAUAACUGGCUCA